RNAcentral lists this ribosomal RNA (511 nucleotides) under uncultured bacterium. RNAcentral describes it as "partial 16S ribosomal RNA". It matches the Rfam family "Bacterial small subunit ribosomal RNA", at positions 28 to 523 of the family's 1533-position model. The record is from RNAcentral.
GACGAACGCUGGCGGCGUGCCUAAUACGUGCAAGUCGAGCGGAAGUUGGAGAGCUUGCUCUUCAACUUUAGCGGCGGACGGGUGAGUAACACGUGGGCAACCUGCCCUGCAGAUCGGGAUAACUCCGGGAAACCGGUGCUAAUACCGAAUAGUUUUCGCCACCUCCUGGUGGCGUACGGAAAGACGGUUUCGGCUGUCACUGCAGGAUGGGCCCGCGGCGCAUUAGCUAGUUGGGGGGGUAACGGCCCACCAAGGCGACGAUGCGUAGCCGACCUGAGAGGGUGAUCGGCCACACUGGGACUGAGGCACGGCCCAGACUCCUACGGGAGGCAGCAGUAGGGAAUCUUCCGCAAUGGACGAAAGUCUGACGGAGCAACGCCGCGUGAGUGACGAAGGUUUUCGGAUCGUAAAACUCUGUUGUGAGGGAAGAACAAGUACCAACUAACUACUGGUACCUUGACGGUACCUCACCAGAAAGCCACGGCUAACUACGUGCCAGCCGCCGCCGUAA